CAGAGGGGGCAAGCGUUGUUCGGAAUUACUGGGCGUAAAGGGCGCGUAGGCGGCCUGCUAAGUCGAACGUGAAAUCCCUGGGCUCAACCCAGGAACUGCGUCCGAUACUGGUUGGCUUGAAUCCGGGAGAGGGAUGUGGAAUUCCAGGUGUAGCGGUGAAAUGCGUAGAUAUCUGGAGGAACACCGGUGGCGAAGGCGACAUCCUGGACCGGUAUUGACGCUGAGGCGCGAAAGCCAGGGGAGCAAACGGGAUUAGAUACCCCGGUAGUCCUGGCCCUAAACGAUGAAUGCUUGGUGUGGCGGGUAUCGAUCCCUGCCGUGCCGAAGCUAACGCAUUAAGCAUUCCGCCUGGGGAGUACGGUCGCAAGGCUG
RNAcentral lists this ribosomal RNA (372 nucleotides) under uncultured organism. RNAcentral describes it as "bacterial SSU rRNA". It matches the Rfam family "Bacterial small subunit ribosomal RNA", at positions 526 to 896 of the family's 1533-position model. The record is from RNAcentral.